Oxyura jamaicensis (ruddy duck) is the source of this 676-nucleotide long non-coding RNA. RefSeq lists it as uncharacterized. The transcript has 3 exons. The record is from RefSeq and is a predicted model, not a curated record. Lineage: Eukaryota; Metazoa; Chordata; Aves; Anseriformes; Anatidae.
CGGGCAUGAGGACGUAGGAGCAGAUCAUCUGGGAAGAGCGCGCCAGGAGGGAGCAGCGCAGAGCUGAGCCUCUGCACAGCCCCCAGCUUGGACACCCGCUGCCAGCGUUCGCCAAGCACCAGCAAGUAAGGCAGCAUUGAUGAACUCCAGCACCGCCAAGAAGGCAAUGAGGUUGGCCGCGAUGUUGGCCACGAGCCCCACCGAGGCAGCAGCCCCACUGCUAGCAGCUUCCAGGAUGUUCUGCUCUUCCCUGGGAGAAAAAAGACCCAGACAGGCUCACGUGGCCAGGCACCUCCAGUGUAAGGGACAUCCAUCAACUUUUCAUUGUGGCUGCAGAAACUGCCAGGUCCUUCUCCUUUCCACCACCAUCACAGAGCUAGACUCAAAGCCCUACCUUCAGGAUGAGCCACUGCAUGGCCCCGAGGUAAUAGAGGAUGGACAUCACACAGCUGAAGAAAACAACGAUGGGCAGAGUCUGCAGGCAAGACACCAGGGUACAGGAUUAAAGGGGAGUUGAGCAGCACAUCUAAGGACACUUGGGCACCAGGCUCCCCUGCCACAUGGGCUGGGCAUGGCGUGGUGUUGCAUAUCCAGCCCACAAUAUUGGGGUGCCACAACAUUGGGCCAGGCCAGCAGGAGGGACAGGGACCAGUAUAAAUUCCCCAUAGCUCUGAGG